This 484-nucleotide ribosomal RNA is filed under the name uncultured bacterium. RNAcentral's name for it is "partial 16S ribosomal RNA". It matches the Rfam family "Bacterial small subunit ribosomal RNA", at positions 36 to 507 of the family's 1533-position model. The record is from RNAcentral.
CUUUCCCUCUGGCUGCAGGCCUAACACAUGCAAGUCGAGCGGAUGAAGGGAGCUUGCUCCUGGAUUCAGCGGCGGACGGGUGAGUAAUGCCUAGGAAUCUGCCUGGUAGUGGGGGAUAACGUCCGGAAACGGGCGCUAAUACCGCAUACGUCCUGAGGGAGAAAGUGGGGGAUCUUCGGACCUCACGCUAUCAGAUGAGCCUAGGUCAGAUUAGCUAGUUGGUGGGGUAAAGGCCUACCAAGGCGACGAUCCGUAACUGGUCUGAGAGGAUGAUCAGUCACACUGGAACUGAGACACGGUCCAGACUCCUACGGGAGGCAGCAGUGGGGAAUAUUGGACAAUGGGCGAAAGCCUGAUCCAGCCAUGCCGCGUGUGUGAAGAAGGUCUUCGGAUUGUAAAGCACUUUAAGUUGGGAGGAAGGGCAGUAAGUUAAUACCUUGCUGUUUUGACGUUACCAACAGAAUAAGCACCGGCUAACUUCGUG